RNAcentral lists this ribosomal RNA (253 nucleotides) under uncultured bacterium. RNAcentral's name for it is "partial 16S ribosomal RNA". It matches the Rfam family "Bacterial small subunit ribosomal RNA", at positions 524 to 776 of the family's 1533-position model. The record is from RNAcentral.
UACAGAGGGUGCAAGCGUUGUUCGGAAUUAUUGGGCGUAAAGCGCGUGUAGGCGGCUUUGCAAGUCGGGUGUGAAAGCCCUCAGCUCAACUGAGGAAGUGCGCCCGAAACUGCAGAGCUUGAGUGCCGGAGAGGGUGGCGGAAUUCCCCAAGUAGAGGUGAAAUUCGUAGAUAUCUGGAGGAACACCGGUGGCGAAGGCGGCAUCCUGGACCGGCAUUGACGCUGAUGAGCGAAAGCCAGGGGAGCAAACAGG